RNAcentral lists this ribosomal RNA (465 nucleotides) under Blastocystis sp. RNAcentral's name for it is "SSU rRNA". It matches the Rfam family "Eukaryotic small subunit ribosomal RNA", at positions 460 to 953 of the family's 1831-position model. The record is from RNAcentral. Lineage: Eukaryota; Bigyra; Opalinata; Blastocystidae.
GGAGGUAGUGACAAUAAAUCCCAAUGUAGGACCGUUGGUUUUACAAUUGGAUUGAGAACAACUUAAAAUCGUUAUCGAUGAACAAUUGGAGGGCAAGUCUGGUGCCAGCAGCCGCGGUAAUUCCAGCUCCAAUAGCGUAUAUUAACAUUGUUGCAGUUAAAAAGCUCGUAGUUGAAUGGAGACCGUUGCCGGUUUACUUGGAAGUAAAGGGCGAGGGUGUUUGCAGAGUCUCUUCGAAUAUUUAUUUAUUGUUGUAGGCUGUGCAGUUUUACUGUGAGAAAAGUAGAGUGUUCAAAGCAGGCGUUUGUUUGAAUACAUUAGCAUGGAAUAAUGAGUUUGCAUGUUUGUAAAUUUGUUUGGUUUGUUUACAAGGAUGUUGUUUAAUAGGGACAGUUGGGGGUAUUCAUAUUCAAUAGUUAGAGGUGAAAUUCUCGGAUUUAUGGAAGAUGAACAAGUGCGAAAGCA